This 310-nucleotide unclassified non-coding RNA is filed under the name plant metagenome. RNAcentral's name for it is "partial contains 5.8S ribosomal RNA, internal transcribed spacer 2, and large subunit ribosomal RNA". The stretch from base 1 to 105 matches the Rfam family "5.8S ribosomal RNA", at positions 50 to 154 of the family's 154-position model. The record is from RNAcentral.
GAAAUGCGAUAAGUAGUGUGAAUUGCAGAAUUCAGUGAAUCAUCGAAUCUUUGAACGCACAUUGCGCCCCUCGGUAUUCCGUGGGGCAUGCCUGUUCGAGCGUCAUCUACACCCUCAAGCUCUGAUUGGUGUUGGGCGUCUGUCCCGCCUCCUUCGCGCGCGGACUCGCCCCAAAUCCAUUGGCGGCGGCCCUUGCCUCCCUCUCGCGCAGCACAUUGCGCUUCUCGAGGCGCGGCGGACCGCGUCCAGCAAGCAACCGUCACACCGUCUUUGACCUCGGAUCAGGUAGGGAUACCCGCUGACCUUAAGC